RNAcentral lists this transfer RNA (93 nucleotides) under bacterium. RNAcentral's name for it is "tRNA-Ser". It matches the Rfam family "tRNA". From Rfam's summary of the family: Transfer RNA (tRNA) molecules are approximately 80 nucleotides in length. Their secondary structure includes four short double-helical elements and three loops (D, anti-codon, and T loops). The record is from RNAcentral.
GGUGAGGUACCCAAGUGGCUGAAGGGGCGGGUUUGCUAAACCUGUAGAUCGGAGUAAUCCGGUGCGAGAGUUCGAAUCUCUCCCUCACCGCCA